Myotis lucifugus (little brown bat) is the source of this 461-nucleotide long non-coding RNA. RefSeq lists it as uncharacterized. NCBI's taxonomy places the organism in Eukaryota, Metazoa, Chordata, Mammalia, Chiroptera, Vespertilionidae. The record is from RefSeq and is a predicted model, not a curated record. The transcript is spliced from 3 exons.
ACCCAGAUGGAGAGAAAGGGGGAGGAGCGGGGGAGAGGGCGGAGCUCGCGCGGCCACGUGACCGAGGCCGGCCGGCGCGCGCUCGGCCGCCGGGAGGUCUGUUGCGCGCGCGCGUCUCCGAGUGCACGCGCCCGAGCUCCCGGACUCCCCGCGCCCGCGCGGCCCGGAAGGAGCAGCAUCAUUCACAAUAGCCAAGAUGUGGAAAUGACCAAAGUGUCUGCCAAUGGAUGAAUGGGUGAAAAAAUUGUGGUGUAGAGGUACACAAUGGAAUAUUAAUCAGCUUUAAAAAAGGAAAUUCCACUAUUUGUGACAGCAUGGAUGGAACUUGAGUGCAUUAUGCUAAAUACUGAAAUGUCUCGUGAUAAUACAAAUGUAUUCCUAGCGUCCCGCGUGCACGUGCUUCCUCGCUGUCAUCACAAAGCCCCACACAGAAGGCGGCUUAAAGGAACGGAAAUGUAUCC